Molecule: long non-coding RNA, 3172 nt
Organism: Camelus dromedarius (Arabian camel)
Lineage: Eukaryota; Metazoa; Chordata; Mammalia; Artiodactyla; Camelidae
Exons: 2
Source: RefSeq, a predicted model, not a curated record
UGAAAGGUGCCACCACCUUUAUCAUAUUUUGGAAGUUCUGCAAAUACAAAGAGGCUGAGGACGGUUGCCUUAGCCAUCCUAAAGAAGGCAGAGUUAGAGGAAAAGUGUCCUCCUCUCCCACCUGCUAGGUGAUUUGGAAGCUGCUGACAAAAAGGAACCUGAUUCUCCACUCUUUGCUACUCAAAGCGUGGUCCUUGGACCAGCAGUGUCAGCUUCAUCCAGGAGCACGUCAGAAACGCCGGUUCCCACACCAGACCUACUAUAUUAGUCUGCUGGGGCUUCCCUAACAAGGUACCGAGGACUGGGUGGCUUAAACAAUGGAAAUUCGUUUUUCACAGUUCUGGGGGCCAGAAGUCCAAGAUCCCAGUGUCAGCAGGGUUGAUUUCCUCCCAAGUCUCUCCUGUUGGUUUGUAGACAGCCGUCUUCUCCCUGUGUCUUCACGUGAAUUUUCCUCUGUGUCUGUGUGUGUUCUUUUCUUACGCUCAGAUUAGAUUACAGCCCACCUCAGUGACCUCAUUUUACCUUAGUUACCUCUUCAAAGACUGCAUCUCCAAGUACAAUCACAUUCUGAGGUACUGGGGAUUAGGACUUUGGCGUAUAGAUUUUGAGGGGACACAGUUCAGCCCGUAACACCUACUAAAUCAGGAUUUACAUUUUAACAAGAUCCCAGGGAACUUGCAUACACAUUUAAGUUGGAAAAGCACUGCCCAGUGCCUGUUCCCUAGUGGAUGAAACACCAGUGUGUCUGUCUAGGGCUGGAGGCAGAGAAAGGAGAUGCUGGGUGAUUUUUUUCUCUCUCCAUUCUACAGGUCUGGUUGGGGGAGAAAACUGGGGAAGUAUUCCCUCUUUUUGAAGUUGAAAGAGGUCAAGUCCCUCUUGAGGGAAAGUCUCUGUUUCUCACUGAGGAACAAAGACCUCUGCACCUUUGGGAAUGUGAGCAGACAAGAAACUGAAGCUUAGAAAGGUGUGAAACGACUUUCAAAGUUGCACAAAGAAGAACGGUAAAGCAGGAAUCCAAAUCUAACCCACGCUGUCUCCCCACUGCACUCCUCUGUAGUGUACGCAUUCAGAAAAGCUAUCAAGAGGACAAGAGUAAGAUCUUUUUUUUUUUUUUUAACCUGCCAGGAAAUGCUGGCAAAAAAUGUAGUAGUAACAUUCAGAUGGGGAGAAAACAACGUUGGGGGGAAGUGAGGAAGUAGUGGCUUCUAGUAAGUUGUGCCCGUGCCAGGGUUAAGCCUUCAUCGUAUGAUACACACAUCAAGCAUUAGCCAUCAUCAAGAAGACAGCAUCUUAAAAUGCAUUAUAUAUGGUGUUUUGAUGAUGCUAAGGUGCAGUCUGCACAUUGAAGACUUUUCAGACAUUUUUGGGUCACUGUAAUAAUAUGGGCAGUGAGAGCCAGGAUUUACUUUUUACUUUUCAGGCCAGAGCAAGAUGAUCAUUUCAAGUAAGAAAAGAUAUUACUCUAUGUGGUUAAAGAAACCCUUUGUUAGCUAACUCCUUCUUUUAUUUAACUGAAUGAAACUUAAGUUGACUGUUCCAGCUGGUCCUCUUACAAACCUGAGCAGGCUAACACUGUGUUGCAGUAUUGAGAUUUUAUUGUAUUAACAACUUAAAGUGUUAGCAAUGAAGUCAAAACUAAGUCCUGGCUCUAUAUUAAAAAAAUAAUACUUCUGCCUUGAAACUUUGCAAGCUAUGUGGUCCAAUAAGACUCUAAGAUAUCAGAUGUGUUAAAUGGCGCCACUGAAUAUCUUAUAAAGUUAUAAAGUGUAUCUGAAAAGUAUUUUUUGCUGAACAACAAAGGUAAAAAGCCAGCAAAGGAAUCCUUCACUGACCCCCUUGAAAUGGAAACAAUUUAUGAAUGUGAGCAGUUGUUAGAUAUUAUUAGUAAUACAACUUUGAAACGGAAAAUUCCUAUUAUCCUUCUUUCAAGUUUCUGGAUCAGUUUCAUUGAAAAGUGUCAGAAGACUGUAAGGCAUGCUGCUUAAAGACUGUGUUUGCAAGGACUGUCUUCGUGUCAAUCAAGAAUCACUUGAUGCUGUGCAACAACAAUAAAAUAUAAAAAUAGAUUGCUGACACUGAUAUAAAACUGGAACUGACAUCCAUAACCACCAACUUCUGAUUUCUGUGCUCCUCAAAGCACAUUCAUUGUCGCCACUGAGUGAUUUUUACAUUUUCAUUUAAAAUAAAUUAUUUACAAAUCAUGAAUAUUUAAAACAUACUUCACAGUACAGAGAAUAUGAAAAAUAAGUUCUCAACACCCAGUUUUAACAAAUAUUAGCAUUUUACCACAUUCAGUGCCUUUUUAAAAGAUGUGUGUUACUACAGUUAUAGAACCUUCUGGUUCCUCUCUUUCACCAGGGGUUACCACUCUCCUGAAGUUCCUUCCCGUCCAUUUUAAUACCUAGAUGUGUAUUAUGUAUAGUAGUAUUAUCUUAAUAUUUAUAUGUUAUAUGUUGUAAAUAUCCUUCUGCAACUUGCAUUGUUUUUUCUCACCAGAAUCUCAUGGAGAUUUAUCUGGGCUGAUUUGUUUAGUUUUAUUUCAUUCAUUUUUUUUCUUUUUUUAUUGAGGUAUGUCUUAGCUCUGGCUGGUAUAACAAGAAUACCACAAACUGAGUGAUUUAAACAACAGACAUUUAGUUCUCACACUUCUGGAGGCCAGUAAGUCUGAGAUCAGUGUGCCAGCAUGGAUGGGAUCUGGUAAGGGCCAUCUUCUUGGUUUCCUAACAUGCGGCAGGGUGUGUGGGUGUGUGUGUGUGUGUGUGUGUGUGUGUGUGUGUGAGAGAGAGAGAGAGAGAGAACAAGCUCUCUUGUGUCUCUUUUUAUAAGGGCACUAAUCCCAUCAUGAGGGCUCUACCUUCAUGACCUAAUUAUCUCCCAAAGAACCCAUCUCCAAAUACUGUCACCUCAGGGAUUAGGGUUUCAACAUGUGAGCUUUGAGGGGACACAAACAUUCAGUCCAUAGCAACCUAUCACAUACAUCCGCUGAAGUGUACAACUCUAGCACACAGGUAAGACUUCCACCCGGAUCAAGAUGGAGACCAUUUCCAGCACCCCACAGUUCUCUGUGCCCCCUCCCAGUUCACAUUUCUCAGAGACAACCACUCAUAUGGCCUGUAGCACUGUAACUUAAUUUGGAUUGUUUUGAACAUUGUAUAAAUGGAAUCAUACAGUA